This is a long non-coding RNA of Heterocephalus glaber (naked mole-rat), 5085 nucleotides long. RefSeq lists it as uncharacterized. The record is from RefSeq and is a predicted model, not a curated record. NCBI's taxonomy places the organism in Eukaryota, Metazoa, Chordata, Mammalia, Rodentia, Bathyergidae.
UCUGCUCCCUCUGGGCCAAUGCGAGAGCGGAGCUGCUCGCCCGCCUCGCGUUCUGAACCCAGAGUGAGCGGCGCUCGGAGAGCGGAGGGACAGACCUGCAGGAGCCAGGGCUGCCCGCGGGCUGCAGUCGCCUCCGCCUUUGCUGUCGCUGUCAGCGCCCUCUAAAGAGCCGCAGAGCCGGCGAAGCCGGAGAAGCAGCGAGCCCCGCGCCUCUACCAAACAGGUGCACGCACGAGCGAUCGAUCGCCCGAUCUCAGGUAACCAUUCAUGAGCCUGAGGCUGUGAGAAAUGCUUGCUGUGCAAAGGAGAACUCUCACCAGAUUUUCUGAAGCUGUCCCAGAAAUACAUUUCUCAGACUGAGUCAGCAUUACCAGCUUAUCCAACAAAAGUAUUAACAUAUUCAUUAACAACGUCGAAAGUAGCUUACUUUAAGAGAAAAUAUGCAGAAGAAGAAGAUUUACAUCAGGAUUACCAUGGGUAUUUUCCAAAACACCUGAUAUUACCUGAAGACAGAACUUGCAUUCUGAAACUUUCUCUGGAGAAGCUCAGGUUUCUAGAAGACCCAGAAACCUACUUAAGAAGGUCUGUGUUAAUUAACAAUUUGCUGAGGAAGAUACAUCUAGAGACGGAGAAAGAGAGCUAUGAAUACUUUAAAGAAGCUCCCUGUUAUAAGACUGCUUAUUCUGAUACAAGAAAACGGCUGAAGUUUAUGGUACAGGAAUGCUGUUCUCAGUCUCUCUAUUAUGAGGAGCUGCAUUCAUAUCAUAUUGUGCCUUAUGCUUCGGAGAAUGCCAUUUAUGGAAUGGGCUACACUAGUAGCCACUUGGAGCAAAAUUCUCAGUUGCUUAUUUAUAAAAUGAAUUAAAGUAACUGUUAUGUCCACUGAUACUUUGUUUCUAAAUGCCUGAAUUGUUUUAGUGAAGAUGUUCAUAUAAGGCACCAAUUACCGGUGCACUUGAUAUCAAAGAUGAGAUGCAUGCUGAACUGAUCGGAGAGAACCAUGGUUAUUACUCAGCAGUCCUUACUAUGAUCAAAUUGAAUUCCAGAUAUGUCCACUUAUCAGUGACUUUGUGCAUUAGAAGCAAAAAGAUUUUUUUAAAGAUAAGGUUUGUAAUUUUUAAGCCCCAUUUCCAAAUUUUGCCACUCAUAGUGACAAGUAACAAAAAGCAACAUAUUAACUUGAUAAGAUGUCCCUGAGGAUUAAGGGUAGAAUUAUUUAAUGUUCUCUGAAUGAUGAGAAGGAGGGUCGAUGCUUUCUGAAUUUCUUUGGCUUGUGAAGCAUUGUGCCAAAUAACUGUUAGAUACUGCUCUCCUUUUACCAUUAGUGGCAAUUCAGGAAGGGGGAAAGCAUAUACUCCAACUUAACUGCUGAAUGUAACAACUGGAUUCCUCCAAACGGAUCCAUUUUACUAUUUUUGUUCAUUUGUUUUUUUGGUCUUAAUAGACUUUUUCUUUUUUAAAAACAGAAUUUAAUGAAAUAACAUUACAGAUGAGCUUAUCUCUAUAGGGAUUAAAAUUUGUGCUGGGCUUUUAAGAGUUUAAAUUUUAUUUAUGAUGUUAUAUUUUAAUAGGCUGUGACACUCAGGAAAAGAGUGGGCAGGAAAAAUAUUUUUAAUGGGUUGAUAAUUUUUUUAAAAUCUCAUCUGAAAAAAAUAGUAAGGGCAACUGAAAUUCUACGUGAUGUUAUUUCUUCAUUUAGCUGAGAGUGCAUUUAAGGCUGCCUGGCUGUAAUUUUGCACUGAUUUCUGUAUGAUAGUCGGUCAUUCACUAUUUGACAAGAUGUUUUAGAAUGCACUUGGUGGUGAAGUCAGAUCAGUCCUUAUGUUUUACAGUUUGAAAGAUAAUUAUUUAACAGGCUGGAUAUAUUCGUGACAUUGCUUGAAGUGAUUCAUAAUGUUCUUUGAGAUUUGAAUGAGUUGUCUGAUUUCAGUGUGUGGAGUUUUUGUCCUAUGGAGCAUAUUGUUUAAAGAAUUGUCAUUAACUGAUAAAAGAUUGGAAAAACUAGGUGCCAAAGGUGUAUUUAAGAGAAUACCAAAGACUCAAAGAUGAGUGUUAAGGAGACUAUGAUGAUGAAGAUAAGAAUCUAACAUAAAGGUUGCACAGGUCAUAGAGUUGUGAAAAAUUUUAGAAUAAUUUGCUUACCAAUGUGCUUUCGGAAUAUUUUAUACACAAUAAUGAUGACCAUGGACACUGCUUUAGCUGAAGAUAUUACAAGCUUUUGGUAAUCAUAUUCCUGUAUAAUAUAGUUAUGGUGACUUGUCAAUAUAGCAUCUCUCCUAGUACAAACCCACUUAUGACCAAGAUGGUCUUUUUCUAGUCAAGAGAAUUUUGUUUUAAUACUUGGAUCUUCUCAUGAAUCACCAAGAUAAUUAACACAGAUGCAUUUGGUAUAAAGAAUGUUGGUACCCUAGUUAGCCCACAUCGUUGAAGACUAUGCAUACAAUUGAUAAUAGUGUCAGCCUUCUAUUUAAUUGUUCAAUCAAAAUUAGGAAAAGAUGACUUAAAAGAUAUUGAAAUGUUAGGAUUGAAGUAAAAAUUUUAAAGACAGUUUAGUAUGAACAGUGAGAUAAUUUGAAGUAUGGAGAUAUAAAAAUUAAAAAUUAAUUUAAGGGAAAAAUUUGGCUUCAAGGUUUAAAAUUUGAUUUCAUUGCUUUUAAAAGACCUUAAUUCUCAGAACACUUCUUUUAAAAAUUUAGAUUUAUUUUAAAACGGGAAUAGUCCAAGACUCCAAAUUUAAUGGGAUAGUUAUACUCUGAUAUAAUUUAACAAAUAGAAUCAGCGCUCUGAUACAUUUGAAAUUUUGACUGAAAUGAACUUAGGCUUGAUUAGGACAGUGUCUUUAAGGGAAAAUCCUAUGCUCAUAGAUAGAACUUUUAAAAACCUCAUGUUGAGAUUGGUUGAAGAUAGAAAUAUACAUGCUUUGGAACAGAAAAGGAAGGGAGAGGAAAAUUAUCAAGAAAGUGGGAAAUUAUAGUAUUUAUUUUAUCAGAAAACUUAGAGCAAAACUCUUGAGCAAAGAAUGAAUAACAUAUUUAAAAGCCAGUUUUACCAGAUGUCAUUAACUGAGCUCUCUGAUCUAUACAUUUAUAUGUAGAAAAAAACCCUUAGAAAACAGCCAUUUUUGUGAAAUGUUUUUCUUUUUUAAGUGUUAAUUUCAAAACAAGUUAUUUAAAAUACAUUUUAGGGCAGUUAAUUUUUUCCAAUAAACAACUCAUAGAUGGGCAGUUGACGAAUAUUAGCUUGAUUAAAAAAUUGUAUUUAAACUCUGCAAACUUGUCUGAGUUUACAAGUAGGUUACUGUCAUUUUACCAUGGCCAGCUGAUACCCAAGGAGACCCUAUAAAGGUUUGCUCUUCUGACUCUUCCUACAUGUCCCUUUAUGAGAGAAGAGAAAGGUAGAGAACUAGUUACAGUUAUUUUGAACCAGGGCACCCUUUCUCUGGGGCAAAAGGCGUACGUAGGGUAAGGAAGCUCACAUGGGAAAUCUGAGUGCCUUUGGUAAUAUUGCUCAACUCCUUUGGUAAUUUUGUCACUCCUUUGAGUACCCAACCAGCUUAAAAGCCUAGCAAGUAAGAAAAACAUGAAAAAAGAAAAAGAGGAAAAACGAAGAAAAAACGACAAAAGACAGGCGGACCAGAGAAACAAGGAGCAAGAUUAGUAAGUGAAAGAGAAAAGUUGUUUCAUGUUGAGGGGCGUUGCUUGCUUGCUGUAUUCACUUUUUCUUUCUUGCAUUCACUGCAUACCAAAAUACCUGUUACCUGCAGUGUAUUGAUACUUUCUUUCAUUCAACAACAAUUCAUAAGACUAGAUUCUAUUCAGCAUAGAUAUUAUUUAAAAUGUGAUAUUACACAAAAUACACCUAUAACUGAACUUUCUGGGUGGAUGAGCAUAGAAAAUAAUUAAGUUGGGAGAGAGACUAGAUGGUGGGAGUGUGUGUAAACGGAUAAGCGCAAGUACAUUACCUGUUUUCAGUGUGCAUCCCAAGAUUUAACAAAUUCAGUGCAAGAGGACUUGGACAUUAGUGCAGUUCACCACCACUUAUUGAGCAGCAAUUGUGAGCUGGAGCUUUGCCAGGGCUGGAGAUACAGAAGCGAGUGAUAUUCAAUUCCUUUGCUCAGUUUACUACUGAUAAAAGGAAGAAUUCAAACAACUCCGUUUUGUCUUAAAGGGUAAGGGCCCUUUCUUGGGAGUAACACCUGCCUUUCUCUUUCCCAUACUGGGAUGGUUAUAAAACAGGUGUCUCCAAAAGUGUUUAUAGGUGAGAAGGUGAACAAGGACAAGAGAGGUUCUACGAACCCAGCUCAGACGGUGGGAAGCUACCAUGUUUUGCAGUGUAUUUUAUGGUCAGGAGCAUACUAGAAAGCCAGUGUUGCAAGGGGAAGCACAGCUGGCUCUGCUUUGUUCCUGGGAUGUCCCUGUCCGGUGGCAGGGUAAUUAAUGCAAGUAGGGAACCAUCGCUUCUCCCUGCGUCUUUCAGGCAUUUGUGUUCUUUUAGCGGGGAAAUCAGGCUUCAUGUGAGUGUCAAAGAAAGCCUUAAGGAGAAACAGAAUCAGCAAAUCGUAGCCUGAGAGCUGUGUGUGGACUGUGCCAAGUCAGAGUGCAGCCUCCUUUCCUUUGCCUUGUGCUGGAGAAUUGCUUGAAUGAACCUCAGGAUUUCUGAACACCAGCUACCGGGGCCAUCCUGCUUCUGUUUUCUUUGUGCAUCACGGCCUGAUUUCUGUUCUUUGGAGUCCACUCUAAGUAGAAGUUAUGGUGCAGUCCUUCAUCCCCACCUUGUCCCUUAGCACCAAUCCCAUCUUGCUCAAAGAUACUUGGAGGAAAUCAACAGUUGGCAGUACUGGCUAAAGUUUGAGAAAGGGUUUCUAGAAUGUAUAAAACUAGAAUGCAUCACAGUAAUAAGAUCAUUAUUGGCUGGUCAUAAUUCUUUUAAAAUUGAUUGUACUCAGUCAUUAAGUAAUUGUUUACUGCGGUAAUGUUCAUGCUUCUAGAAUUCAGUGUAAUAGUUGUAUAUGUAUUGCUAAAGAAAAUAUCUUACAUUGGAAACAAUAGAAGAGUGUAUAUAAUUAAUUAAAGGACUUCAUGAAUA